CCUACGGGUGGCAGCAGUGGGGAAUAUUGCGCAAUGGGCGAAAGCCUGACGCAGCGACGCCGCGUGAGGGAUGGAGGUCUUCGGAUCGUAAACCUCUGUCAGCAGGGAAGAACGGUCACUGUGCUAAUCAGCAGUGAAUUGACGGUACCUGCAAAGGAAGCACCGGCUAACUCCGUGCCAGCAGCCGCGGUAAUACGGAGGGUGCGAGCGUUAAUCGGAAUUACUGGGCGUAAAGCGCGCGGAGGCGGUAUGGCAAGUCAAGGGUGAAAUCCCCGCGCUCAACGUGGGAACUGCCUUUGAAACUGGGAGACUGGAGUGUGUGAGAGGAUAGUGGAAUUCCUGGUGUAGGAGUGAAAUCCGUAGAUAUCGGGAGGAACAUCAGUGGCGAAGGCGACUAUCUGGCACAUAACUGACGCUGAGGAGCGAAAGCGUGGGUAGCAAACAGGAUUAGAUACCCCUGUAGUC
This 465-nucleotide ribosomal RNA is filed under the name uncultured bacterium. RNAcentral's name for it is "partial 16S ribosomal RNA". It matches the Rfam family "Bacterial small subunit ribosomal RNA", at positions 338 to 795 of the family's 1533-position model. The record is from RNAcentral.